Pseudonaja textilis is the source of this 116-nucleotide non-coding RNA. The record is from RefSeq and is a predicted model, not a curated record. Lineage: Eukaryota; Metazoa; Chordata; Lepidosauria; Squamata; Elapidae.
UUCACAUCAUGAAGAUAAUUGGGCAGUUGCCCUUAAUAUGAACACAGAGGUCAUCUUUGUAGAGAAUGAAGAGAAUUGGUCCUAGAACACUGCCUUAGGGGACACCACUAUUGACA